Molecule: ribosomal RNA, 205 nt
Filed under: uncultured bacterium
Lineage: Bacteria
Description: partial 16S ribosomal RNA
Rfam family: Bacterial small subunit ribosomal RNA
Source: RNAcentral
CGUAGACGGUUUUGUAAGUCAGAUGUGAAAUCCCUGGGCCCAACCUGGGAACUGCAUUUGAAACUGCAUGGCUAGAGUAUCGAAGAGGGAAGUGGAAUUUCCGGUGUAGCGGUGAAAUGCGUAGAUAUCGGAAGGAACACCAGUGGCGAAAGCGACUUCCUGGUCGAAUACUGACGUUCAUGUGCGAAAGCGUGGGGAGCAAACA